Molecule: ribosomal RNA, 480 nt
Filed under: uncultured bacterium
Lineage: Bacteria
Description: bacterial SSU rRNA
Rfam family: Bacterial small subunit ribosomal RNA
Source: RNAcentral
AUCCUGGCUCAGGAUGAACGCUAGCGGCAGGCUUAAUACAUGCAAGUCGAACGAACAGCAAUGUUAGUGGCGCACGGGUGCGUAACGCGUAUGCAAUCUACCUUUUACAGAGGGAUAGCCCAGAGAAAUUUGGAUUAAUACCUCAUAGUAUGUGAGAAUCGCAUGGUUUUCACAUUAAAGUUCCAACGGUAAAAGAUGAGCAUGCGUCCCAUUAGCUAGAUGGUAAGGUAACGGCUUACCAUGGCGACGAUGGGUAGGGGUCCUGAGAGGGAGAUCCCCCACACUGGUACUGAGACACGGACCAGACUCCUACGGGAGGCAGCAGUGAGGAAUAUUGGACAAUGGGCGCAAGCCUGAUCCAGCCAUGCCGCGUGCAGGAUGACGGUCCUAUGGAUUGUAAACUGCUUUUGUACAGGAAGAAACACUCCCUCGUGAGGGAGCUUGACGGUACUGUAAGAAUAAGGAUCGGCUAACUCCGUG